This 546-nucleotide ribosomal RNA is filed under the name Zebrasoma velifer (sailfin tang). Its description in RNAcentral is "partial 12S ribosomal RNA". It matches the Rfam family "Bacterial small subunit ribosomal RNA", at positions 307 to 991 of the family's 1533-position model. The record is from RNAcentral. Lineage: Eukaryota; Metazoa; Chordata; Actinopteri; Acanthuriformes; Acanthuridae.
ACCCCCGUGAGAAUGCCCCACAGUUCCCCGCCCGGGAACAAGGAGCUGGUAUCAGGCACACUCCCCCGUUAGCCCAUGACACCUUGCUUAGCCACACCCUCAAGGGAACUCAGCAGUGAUAAACAUUAAGCCAUAAGUGAAAACUUGACUUAGUUAAAGCUAAGAGGGUCGGUAAAACUCGUGCCAGCCACCGCGGUUAUACGAGAGACCCAAGUUGUUAGACACCGGCGUAAAGAGUGGUUAAGUACCCUUACUUACUAAAGCCGAACACCUUCAAAGCUGUUAUACGCACCUGAAGACAGGAAGUUCAAUCACGAAAGUGGCUUUAUACCAACUGAACCCACGAAAGCUAGGAUACAAACUGGGAUUAGAUACCCCACUAUGCCUAGCCUUAAACAUCGAUGACAUUUUACAACUGUCAUCCGCCCGGGUACUACGAGCAUCAGCUUAAAACCCAAAGGACUUGGCGGUGCUUUAGAUCCACCUAGAGGAGCCUGUUCUAGAACCGAUAACCCCCGUUCAACCUCACCCUUCCUUGUUUAUCCC